Cavia porcellus (domestic guinea pig) is the source of this 431-nucleotide non-coding RNA. The record is from the annotation of a RefSeq genome assembly. Lineage: Eukaryota; Metazoa; Chordata; Mammalia; Rodentia; Caviidae.
AAAAUAUUCAGAGUUCUAUUUAAAGCCUGAUUUUAAGAGACCCGUUUAGCCUGAGGCAGAGCUCAAAAAACACAAUGGAUUUUCAGGCUCAAAUUCUCCCCAUUCUACUGCUCUGUGCCACAGUGUCCAAUGGACAAAUUGUGCUCACCCAGUCUCCAGCAUCCCUGGCUGCUUCCCCAGGGGAGAAGGUCACCAUCACCUGCACAGCCAGCUCCAGUGUAAGCAAUAACUACUUGCACUGGUACCAACAAAAGCCAGGAGCCUCUCCAAAGCUCCUAAUUUAUAGAACAUCAAAGCUGGCCUCCGGAGUCCCGGCUCGCUUCAGUGGGAGUGGGUCAGGGACUUCUUACUCUCUCACAAUCAGCAGCAUGGAGGGUGAAGAUGUUGCAACCUAUUACUGUCAGCAGUCUAGCAGUUACCACCCACAGUGA